AGUCACACUAACACAGGUUGUGAACACUGAUUAUAACAGUCACACUAACACAGGUCGUGAACACUGAUUAUAACAGUCACACUAACGCAUGUGGUGAACACUGAUUAUAACAGUCACACUGAUUAUAACAGUCACACUAACACAGUUCGUGAACACUGAUUAUAACAGUCACACUAACACAGGUCGUGAACACUGAUUAUAACAGUCACACUAACGCAGGUUGUGAAUACUGAUUAUAACAGUCACACUAACGCAUGUGGUGAACACUGAUUAUAACAGUCACACUGAUUAUAACAGUCACACUAACGCAUGUCGUGAAUACUGAUUAUAACAGUCACACUAACACAGGUCGUGAAUACUGAUUAUAACAGUCACACUAACGCAGGUCGUGAAUACUAAUUAUAACAGUCACACUAACACAGGUCGUGAAUACUGAUUAUAACAGUCACUCUGACACAGGUCGUGAACACUGAUUAUAACAGUCACACUAACACAGGUCGUGAACACUGAUUAUAACAGUCACACUAACACAGGUCGUGAACACUGAUUAUAACAGUCACACUAACACAGGUCGUGAACACUGAUUAUAACAGUCACACUAACACAGGUCGUGAAUACUGAUUAUAACAGUCACACUAACACAGGUCGUGAACACUGAUUAUAACAGUCACACUAACACAGGUCGUGAAUACUGAUUAUAACAGUCACACUAACACAGGUCGUGAACACUGAUUAUAACAGUCACACUAACACAGGUCGUGAACACUGAUUAUAACAGUCACACUAACACAGGUCGUGAACACUGAUUAUAACAGUCACACUAACACAGGUCGUGAACACUGAUUAUAACAGUCACACUAACACAGGUCGUGAAUACUGAUUAUAACAGUCACACUAACACAGGUCGUGAACACUGAUUAUAACAGUCACACUAACACAGGUCGUGAAUACUGAUUAUAACAGUCACACUAACGCAGGUCGUGAACACUGAUUAUAACAGUCACACUAACACAGGUCGUGAACACUGAUUAUAACAGUCACACUAACACAGGUCGUGAACACUGAUUAUAACAGUCACACUAACACAGGUCGUGAACACUGAUUAUAACAGUCACACUAACACAGGUCGUGAACACUGAUUAUAACAGUCACACUAACACAGGUCGUGAACACUGAUUAUAACAGUCACACUAACGCAGGUCGUGAACACUGAUUAUAACAGUCACACUAACGCAUGUCGUGAACACUGAUUAUAACAGUCACACUAACGCAGGUCGUGAACACUGAUUAUAACAGUCACACUAACACAGGUCGUGAACACUGAUUAUAACAGUCACACUAACACAGGUCGUGAACACUGAUUAUAACAGUCACACUAACGCAGGUCGUGAACACUGAUUAUAACAGUCACACUAACACAGGUCGUGAACACUGAUUAUAACAGUCACACUAACACAGGUCGUGAACACUGAUUAUAACAGUCACACUAACACAGGUCGUGAACACUGAUUAUAACAGUCACACUAACACAGGUCGUGAACACUGAUUAUAACAGUCACACUAACACAGGUCGUGAACACUGAUUAUAACAGUCACACUAACGCAGGUCGUGAACACUGAUUAUAACAGUCACACUAACACAGGUCGUGAACACUGAUUAUAACAGUCACACUAACACAGGUCGUGAACACUGAUUAUAACAGUCACACUAACACAGGUCGUGAACACUGAUUAUAACAGUCACACUAACACAGGUCGUGAACACUGAUUAUAACAGUCACACUAACACAGGUCGUGAACACUGAUUAUAACAGUCACACUAACACAGGUCGUGAACACUGAUUAUAACAGUCACACUAACACAGGUCGUGAACACUGAUUAUAACAGUCACACUAACACAGGUCGUGAACACUGAUUAUAACAGUCACACUAACACAGGUCGUGAACACUGAUUAUAACAGUCACACUAACACAGGUCGUGAACACUGAUUAUAACAGUCACACUAACACAGGUCGUGAACACUGAUUAUAACAGUCACACUAACACAGGUCGUGAACACUGAUUAUAACAGUCACACUAACACAGGUCGUGAACACUGAUUAUAACAGUCAAGCUUAUUCUUGCUUUUUUCUCUUUUUUUCUUCAAAAAUAAAAAAAAACACACAAACAACAAUAGUGAAUAAAUACUUAAGUGGAUACAAAUUUUCUUUCCAUCUUUUUUUGUUUUUCUUUGUUUUGUGUUAGUAGAUAAUACUGUUUUAAAACACUGCUUCAAUAGCGGCGCCAGAACACUCUCCUCACGCACACCACGGAUUCGAGACAACAGGGCAGAUGAACGGCUCUC
Molecule: long non-coding RNA, 2346 nt
Organism: Oncorhynchus keta (chum salmon)
Lineage: Eukaryota; Metazoa; Chordata; Actinopteri; Salmoniformes; Salmonidae
Exons: 7
Source: RefSeq, a predicted model, not a curated record